This 499-nucleotide ribosomal RNA is filed under the name uncultured bacterium. RNAcentral describes it as "partial 16S ribosomal RNA". It matches the Rfam family "Bacterial small subunit ribosomal RNA", at positions 28 to 507 of the family's 1533-position model. The record is from RNAcentral.
GAUGAACGCUGGCGGCGUGCCUAAUACAUGCAAGUCGAGCGAACAGACGAGAGUGCUUGCACUCUCUGACGUUAGCGGCGGACGGGUGAGUAACACGUGGGUAACCUACCUAUAAGACUGGGAUAACUUCGGGAAACCGGAGCUAAUACCGGAUAAUAUUUAGCUUCGCAUGAAGCAAUAGUGAAAGACAGUUCUGCUGUCACUUAUAGAUGGACCCGCGGUGUAUUAGCUGGUUGGUGAGGUAACGGCUCACCAAGGCAACGAUACAUAGCCGACCUGAGAGGGUGAUCGGCCACACUGGGACUGAGACACGGCCCAGACUCCUACGGGAGGCAGCAGUAGGGAAUCUUCCGCAAUGGACGAAAGUCUGACGGAGCAAUGCCGCGUGAGUGAAGAAGGUUUUCGGAUCGUAAAACUCUGUUGUAAGGGAAGAACAAGUACGUUAGUAACUGAACGUACCUUGACGGUACCUUACCAGAAAGCCACGGCUAACUACGUG